Molecule: ribosomal RNA, 253 nt
Filed under: uncultured bacterium
Lineage: Bacteria
Description: partial 16S ribosomal RNA
Rfam family: Bacterial small subunit ribosomal RNA
Source: RNAcentral
UACGUAGGGGGCUAGCGUUGUUCGGAUUUACUGGGCGUAAAGGGCGCGUAGGCGGCGUAUCAAGUCGAACGUGAAAUCCCCGGGCUCAACCCGGGAACUGCGUCCGAUACUGGCAGGCUUGAAUCCGGGAGAGGGAUGCGGAAUUCCAGGUGUAGCGGUGAAAUGCGUAGAUAUCUGGAGGAACACCGGUGGCGAAGGCGGCAUCCUGGACCGGCAUUGACGCUGAGGCGCGAAAGCCAGGGGAGCAAACGGG